UUUGAAUUCUUCGGACGUUGGAGAACAAUUCAUUACUUGUAACUGGUAGCGAGAGUGGAGGGGAUGGCGGUGAGCGACUUCGAGGCCCCCCUGUCGAAGACGAAACCCUAAGUUUCUUGUGAGCACGAUCUGCCAUUUGGGGUUAUUAGGGUUUUGAAAGUGGGUAAAAGGUUAAAUGGGUUGGAGGUUAUUAGGCCUUUGAAAGGGGGAAGUAGGUCACAUGGCUGUUUAUUUCGAAUGAGGUAGUGGGUGAUAACAAAAACUGUCAGUGAAACCCACGAAGGAACAACGAUGAUAGCGAAAAAAUGAAACCUUUCGAGAAAAGACGCCAAUGAUGGACCCAAGCGAGACUUCCUCCGAGCACUUCAAUGGCGGACAAAGGACUUCCUGCAGAGAAUUGAUCGACCCAAGCACCAACGAACAAGGGUGAAGAAAAAGGACUUCGGUGGUGGAGCGAGAGUUUCGAAUGGUGGACUUCAAUGACGGUGGCAAGUCGAGAGUGUCUCGAGUGUUUGGAAUGGUGGAGAGAAAAUGGUGGAGUCAGACUUUGGAAUGAGAAAACUUGAGAGAGAGAGAGAGAGAGAGAAAGAUUGGAAGGGAUGAAGGCGCGAAAAGAUUUUUCUCACAAUGCCCUUCUGAAAAUGUCCUUCGUUUUCCAUUUAAACCUAUUUAAAAAACCAUUUAAAACAACAAAUGACAGAACGACACGUGUCGUUGUCAAUUUGUUGUCAAAUAGGUAUUGUUAAAGAAAUGUUUU
RNAcentral lists this long non-coding RNA (757 nucleotides) under Vigna radiata. RNAcentral's name for it is "long non-coding RNA (VRAD_LNC005791)". The record is from RNAcentral. Lineage: Eukaryota; Viridiplantae; Streptophyta; Magnoliopsida; Fabales; Fabaceae.